AUUGAACGCUGGCGGCAUGCUUUACACAUGCAAGUCGAACGGUAACAGGCCGCAAGGUGCUGACGAGUGGCGAACGGGUGAGUAAUGCAUCGGAACGUGCCCAGUCGUGGGGGAUAACUACUCGAAAGAGUAGCUAAUACCGCAUACGAUCUAUGGAUGAAAGCGGGGGACCGUAAGGCCUCGCGCGAUUGGAGCGGCCGAUGUCAGAUUAGGUAGUUGGUGGGGUAAAGGCUCACCAAGCCAACGAUCUGUAGCUGGUCUGAGAGGACAACCAGCCACAGUGGGACUGAGACACGGCCCAGACUCCUACGGGAGGCAGCAGUGGGGAAUUUUGGACAAUGGGCGCAAGCCUGAUCCAGCAAUGCCGCGUGCAGGAAGAAGGCCUUCGGGUUGUAAACUGCUUUUGUACGGAACGAAACGGCUCUGGUUAGUACCCGGGGCUAAUGACGGUACCGUAAGAAUAAGCACCGGCUAACUACGU
RNAcentral lists this ribosomal RNA (481 nucleotides) under uncultured bacterium. Its description in RNAcentral is "partial 16S ribosomal RNA". It matches the Rfam family "Bacterial small subunit ribosomal RNA", at positions 30 to 506 of the family's 1533-position model. The record is from RNAcentral.